This 495-nucleotide ribosomal RNA is filed under the name uncultured bacterium. RNAcentral describes it as "partial 16S ribosomal RNA". It matches the Rfam family "Bacterial small subunit ribosomal RNA", at positions 28 to 507 of the family's 1533-position model. The record is from RNAcentral.
GAUGAACGCUGGCGGCGUGCCUAAUACAUGCAAGUCGAACGCUGAAGGAGGAGCUUGCUCUUCUGGAUGAGUUGCGAACGGGUGAGUAACGCGUAGGUAACCUGCCUGGUAGCGGGGGAUAACUAUUGGAAACGAUAGCUAAUACCGCAUGACAACAGUUAUUGCAUGAUAACUGUUGAAAAGGGGCAACUGCUCCACUACCAGAUGGACCUGCGUUGUAUUAGCUAGUUGGUGGGGUAACGGCACACCCAGGAGACGGUACAUAGCCGACCUGAGAGGGGGGUCGGCCACACUGGGACUUGGACCACGCCCAGACUCCUUCGGGGGGCCGCCGUUGGGGAUCUUCGGACAAUGACGGAAGUCUGACCGAACAACGCCGCGUUAGUGAAGAAGGGUCUCGGGUCGUAAAGCUCUGUUUUUAGAGAAGAACGAGUGUGAGAGUGGAAACUUCACACUGUGACGGUAUCUUACCAGAAAGGGACGGCUAACUACGUG